AAUCAACGCUGGCGGCGUGCCUCAGACAUGCAAGUCGAACGAUUAAAGCUCUCUUCGGAGAGUGCAUAGAGUGGCGCACGGGUGAGUAACACGUAAGUAAUCUACCUUCGAGUGGGGAAUAACGUCCGGAAACGGGCGCUAAUACCGCAUAAUGCAGCGGCAUCGCAAGAUGACAGUUGUUAAAGGAGCAAUCCGCUUGAAGAGGAGCUUGCGGCAGAUUAGCUAGUUGGUAGGGUAAUGGCCUACCAAGGCUACGAUCUGUAACCGGUCUUAGAGGACGGUCGGUCACACUGACACUGAAUAACGGGUCAGACUCCUACGGGAGGCAGCAGUCGGGAAUUUUGGACAAUGGGCGCAAGCCUGAUCCAGCCAUGCCGCGUGAGUGAAGAAGGCCUCGGUUGUAAGUACGU
This 410-nucleotide ribosomal RNA is filed under the name uncultured bacterium. RNAcentral's name for it is "bacterial SSU rRNA". It matches the Rfam family "Bacterial small subunit ribosomal RNA", at positions 32 to 435 of the family's 1533-position model. The record is from RNAcentral.